CGUAUGCGCACAUGGACAAACGUUUUUGUUAUUUUUGGGUGUACAAGAAUAGUGUGUGUAUGCGUUAAUGAGUUUCAGUACCACACCUCUGGGCUGGUAAACCCCCUUGGCAUUUAAGAUUAUGAGGCUUAUUAAAUGUCUAAGUAGGGGGAGGCAUUUACAUUACCCUCUCUCUCCUCCCUCUCACCCAGUUCAGAUGGGUUCGCCAUGAUAUCACCCAUUGAAUCGCGACGGAGUAAACUACACAUGAUGGUUCAGAAAGAAGAGGAGGACAUACAGAGAAGCUAGGUGGUGCUGUGAGGCCAGGGAGAGGCACCUGGUGGAGUUAAGCCAAGCUAAACUGCAGAAACAGCUGAGAAAAGAGGAGAAGGACCGGCAACGGAGACAGGCAGAGGAAAAGGAGUAUGAGAGGAUGAAGGCUAAACAGCAGGAGAACACAACCCGGUCCUAGGUCGUGACUCAGAGUUCCAGUCUGAGAGACAGGAGGAGAGGUGUAGAUGAAGUAAUCCAUCAGGACAACGUCAGAGGACAGAGCAGCUCCUUCAGAGGGUGGAGAGGUCAGACGCAGCUCCAGUGGCAUCGACUAGUGCCUCACACACAUCACCCUUGCUGUUUCUCCAUCUCUCUAUCACCCCCCUAUUUUCAUAAUUUGAUGGUUAGAGGAAGGGAGCUAGUGGGCUGAGAGGCUCACAGAGUUCAAGGGACUUCCCAGAGUUCACAGAAAGUACAUAGAGAUGGAUAGAGACAGAAAGAGAGAGAGAGCGAGAUGAAGAGAGAGAGGAGAGAGCAGGAGUCUGCAGACAGACCAAGGGUGGAAUAACCUGCAUAGUUCCUGUGAAAGUACCUGGAAGGAAGCCAGGCUGUCAGCCAAUGAGAGAUGAGGAUGCAGGAAGACCUGCCAAUCACAGAGAGGUGUUGUGUCGUGGUGAUGCUGCAGACAGAGGAGAGCCGAAAAGAAGGGCCCCAGGGCAGGGUUUGAGUAUGUGUUGUUAGGGAGGGGUUUCAUACUGUACCGACCGACAACGGUAUUAUGUGGCAACCAGUGGUGUAAAGUACUUUAGUAAAAAUACUUGAAAGUACUACUUAAGUAGGUUUUCGGGGUAUCUGUACUUUACUCUACUAUUUAUAUAUUUUACAAGUUUUACUUCACUACAUUCCUAAAGAAAAUCAUCUACUUUUUACGUCAUACAUUUUCCCUGACACCCAAAAGUACUCGUUACAUUUGGAAUGCUUAGCAGGACAGGAAAAUGGUAUAAUUCACACACUUAUCAAGAGAACAUCCCUGGUUAUCUCUACUGCCCCUGUUCUGGCGGACUCACUAAACACAUGCUUCAUUUGUAAAUGAUGUCUGAAUGUUGGAGUGUGCCCCUGGC
Oncorhynchus tshawytscha (Chinook salmon) is the source of this 1373-nucleotide long non-coding RNA. The record is from Ensembl. NCBI's taxonomy places the organism in Eukaryota, Metazoa, Chordata, Actinopteri, Salmoniformes, Salmonidae.